UGCACUUCAAGCAUCAGACAGCGAGCCAGAUCAAAUUUACGGAGCUGCACUUCAUUAUUUCUAAGAACUCUGCACUUUCUUGUUUAUUGUUGCCGCAAGUGGAGUGGAUCGUGAUCUGGCUCGUUGUUCCUUUUUCCUAUGCAUAUACUUCUUUGAGAAUUGCUUCUAAAGAGGUAUAGGGCAUGGGAAAAUGGGGCAACUGAGGUACUUCACCACUCAUCUCGAGCAGCACCGCGAAGGCAGCGGCAGAAACGCUUAGAGAAGACAGACAGUGAAGAAAUAAAAGGUAAAUUAAUGAAACUCCCAAUUAAUCCCCAAACUUGUGUAAAAAGGUACUGGCACUAUUUACUCUGGUCUAACACCUAAAUGUCGGUUUCCUCUUAAAACCUGAUUUAUUACAAGAGUAAUAUUUUAAGCAUUUCUCCAACUAGAUUAUUAAAGGUAUCACUUGGUCUAAUGUAAAACACAUGCAUUACUAAGAAGUGACUCCUAUAGUCCUAACUCCCAGAAGUCUCCAACUGAAAAUAAUGGAAACGCGGUCACACAAACUGCAGAAAAUGUCACUCUUUCUCCCCUUCCCACAGAUGCCAGGAUCAGCCAUCACCCAGCCCAGGUGUCUUGGAGGUGGAAGUAGAAGCUCUCUUUGCUCAUGUCAUUUAGUAGAAAAACAGUCAUUAAGCACAAUUUGUAUCUUUCUGUCCAAUUACUUUCAUUUACUGGAAAUAGCAAUGUGUCACAUUAAAUCUGGGGGGGAAAAUACUGCUUUUAUGAAACAAUGUAACUGUACUUAAUGUGUGUCAAAUAAAUAUCUGAUGUUUCAGUCACA
Long non-coding RNA from Ficedula albicollis (Collared flycatcher), 826 nucleotides. RefSeq lists it as uncharacterized. Lineage: Eukaryota; Metazoa; Chordata; Aves; Passeriformes; Muscicapidae. The record is from RefSeq and is a predicted model, not a curated record. The transcript has 4 exons.